RNAcentral lists this ribosomal RNA (513 nucleotides) under uncultured bacterium. Its description in RNAcentral is "partial 16S ribosomal RNA". It matches the Rfam family "Bacterial small subunit ribosomal RNA", at positions 28 to 523 of the family's 1533-position model. The record is from RNAcentral.
GAUGAACGCUGGCGGCGUGCCUAAUACAUGCAAGUCGAGCGAACAGACGAGGAGCUUGCUCCUUUGACGUUAGCGGCGGACGGGUGAGUAACACGUAGGUAACCUACCUAUAAGACUGGGAUAACUUCGGGAAACCGGAGCUAAUACCGGAUAAUAUUUCGAACCGCAUGGUUCGAUAGUGAAAGAUGGCUUUGCUAUCACUUAUAGAUGGACCUGCGCCGUAUUAGCUAGUUGGUAAGGUAACGGCUUACCAAGGCAACGAUACGUAGCCGACCUGAGAGGGUGAUCGGCCACACUGGAACUGAGACACGGUCCAGACUCCUACGGGAGGCAGCAGUAGGGAAUCUUCCGCAAUGGGCGCAAGCCUGACGGAGCAACGCCGCGUGAGUGAUGAAGGUCUUCGGAUCGUAAAACUCUGUUAUUAGGGAAGAACAAACGUGUAAGUGACUGUGCACGUCUUGACGGUACUUAAUCAGAAAGCCACGGCUAACUACGUGCCAGCCGCCGCCGUAA